This 352-nucleotide ribosomal RNA is filed under the name uncultured bacterium. Its description in RNAcentral is "bacterial SSU rRNA". It matches the Rfam family "Bacterial small subunit ribosomal RNA", at positions 917 to 1271 of the family's 1533-position model. The record is from RNAcentral.
GGGCCCGCACAAGCGGUGGAGUAUGUGGUUUAAUUCGAUGCAACGCGAAGAACCUUACCAGGGUUUGACAUCCUGCGAAUCUCUUGGAAACGAGAGAGUGCCUUCGGGAACGCAGUGACAGGUGGUGCAUGGCUGUCGUCAGCUCGUGUCGUGAGAUGUUGGGUUAAGUCCCGCAACGAGCGCAACCCACGUCUUUAGUUGCCAGCAUUUAGUUGGGCACUCUAGAGAGACUGCCGGUGAUAAACCGGAGGAAGGUGUGGAUGACGUCAAGUCAUCAUGCCCCUUACAUCCUGGGCUACACACGUACUACAAUGCUACGGACAAAGGGCUGCAAGUUCCGAGGGGGAGCGGA